This 586-nucleotide ribosomal RNA is filed under the name uncultured bacterium. Its description in RNAcentral is "partial 16S ribosomal RNA". It matches the Rfam family "Bacterial small subunit ribosomal RNA", at positions 355 to 936 of the family's 1533-position model. The record is from RNAcentral.
UGGGGAAUAUUGCACAAUGGGCGCAAGCCUGAUGCAGCCAUGCCGCGUGUGUGAAGAAGGCCUUCGGGUUGUAAAGCACUUUCAGCGAGGAGGAAGGUGGUGAGCUUAAUACGCUCAUCAAUUGACGUUACUCGCAGAAGAAGCACCGGCUAACUCCGUGCCAGCAGCCGCGGUAAUACGGAGGGUGCAAGCGUUAAUCGGAAUUACUGGGCGUAAAGCGCACGCAGGCGGUUUGUUAAGUCAGAUGUGAAAUCCCCGGGCUCAACCUGGGAACUGCAUUUGAAACUGGCAAGCUAGAGUCUCGUAGAGGGGGGUAGAAUUCCAGGUGUAGCGGUGAAAUGCGUAGAGAUCUGGAGGAAUACCGGUGGCGAAGGCGGCCCCCUGGACGAAGACUGACGCUCAGGUGCGAAAGCGUGGGGCAGCAAACAGGAUUAGAUACCCUGGUAGUCCACGCUGUAAACGAUGUCGAUUUUGGAGGUUGUGCCCUUGAGGCGUGGCUUCCGGAGCUAACGCGUUAAAUCGACCGCCUGGGGAGUACGGCCGCAAGGUUAAAACUCAAAUGAAUUGACGGGGUCAUAGCUGUUCC